This 426-nucleotide long non-coding RNA is filed under the name Papio anubis (olive baboon). Its description in RNAcentral is "lncRNA (ENSPANG00000041433.1)". Lineage: Eukaryota; Metazoa; Chordata; Mammalia; Primates; Cercopithecidae. The record is from RNAcentral.
AAGCAUCAGGUGAGGGAAAGAAGCAGCAAUGAUAAGAUAUCAGGUUAUGGGGAUUACAAAGCCUGUGGAGAGACACAACAUGGCAGGAAUGACCAGGGGCUUCUCACUUUGUACCACAGAUCUGAAGACAGAAAGUUUCUAAAGGCUUCCAUUUACACAGAUAUUGAAAAGAGGACGUGGGUAGACAAUGUCCUUCACUCAAUGUUGACAGAGAAACACAGAAACCAACAACCAUGGGAAACUGAAGGAAAGGAUAGCUCCACUUUGUCUCUGAUCCCCUUUCAGUUCCCCAAGCAGAGGAGUCAGGACUUGAGAAGAGACAGAAAUGAUGUCUAAUGCAAAGACAGACUCCCACCCCUGAAUUGAGAGAGACGAAGAGAAUAAAGGCAUCAGAAGAGACCUAUGCACAAACGUAAGUGUGAACUU